AACGAACGCUGGCGGCAGGCCUAACACAUGCAAGUCGAGCGGACCCUUCGGGGUUAGCGGCGGACGGGUGAGUAACGCGUGGGAAUAUGCCCUUCUCUACGGAAUAGUCCUGGGAAACUGGGGGUAAUACCGUAUACGCCCUUUGGGGGAAAGAUUUAUCGGGGAAGGAUUAGCCCGCGUUGGAUUAGGUAGUUGGUGGGGUAAUGGCCUACCAAGCCGACGAUCCAUAGCUGGUUUGAGAGGAUGAUCAGCCACACUGGGACUGAGACACGGCCCAGACCCCUACGGGAGGCAGCAGUGGGGAAUCUUAGACAAUGGGGGCAACCCUGAUCUAGCCAUGCCGCGUGAGUGAUGAAGGCCUUAGGGUUGUAAAGCUCUUUCAGCUGGGAAGAUAAUGACGGUACCAGCAGAAGAAGCCCCGGCUAACUCCGUG
This 433-nucleotide ribosomal RNA is filed under the name uncultured bacterium. Its description in RNAcentral is "partial 16S ribosomal RNA". It matches the Rfam family "Bacterial small subunit ribosomal RNA", at positions 29 to 507 of the family's 1533-position model. The record is from RNAcentral.